ACGGGUGAGUAACGCGUGGGAAUCUACCGUACCCUACGGAAUAGCUCUGGGAAACUGGAAGUAAUACCGUAUACGCCCUAACGGGGAAAGAUUUAUCGGGGUAUGAUGAGCCCGCGUUGGAUUAGCUAGUUGGUGGGGUAAAGGCCUACCAAGGCGACGAUCCAUAGCUGGUCUGAGAGGAUGAUCAGCCACAUUGGGACUGAGACACGGCCCAAACUCCUACGGGAGGCAGCAGUGGGGAAUAUUGGACAAUGGGGGCAACCCUGAUCCAGCCAUGCCGCGUGAGUGAUGAAGGUCUUAGGAUUGUAAAGCUCUUUCAACGGUGAAGAUAAUGACGGUAACCGUAGAAGAAGCCCCGGCUAACUUCGUGCCAGCAGCCGCGGUAAUACGAAGGGGGCUAGCGUUGUUCGGAAUUACUGGGCGUAAAGCGCACGUAGGCGGGUAUUUAAGUCAGGGGUGAAAUCCCGCAGCUCAACUGCGGAACUGCCUUUGAUACUGGGUGUCUUGAGUAUGGAAGAGGUAAGUGGAAUUGCGAGU
Molecule: ribosomal RNA, 537 nt
Filed under: uncultured bacterium
Lineage: Bacteria
Description: bacterial SSU rRNA
Rfam family: Bacterial small subunit ribosomal RNA
Source: RNAcentral